This 838-nucleotide ribosomal RNA is filed under the name uncultured bacterium. RNAcentral describes it as "bacterial SSU rRNA". It matches the Rfam family "Bacterial small subunit ribosomal RNA", at positions 62 to 869 of the family's 1533-position model. The record is from RNAcentral.
CCCAUUGAUUGACGGUGCUUGCAUCUGAUUGAUUUUGGUUGCCAACGAGUGGCGGACGGGUGAGUAACACGUAGGUAACCUGCCCAGAAGUGGGGGACAACAUUUGGAAACAGAUGCUAAUACCGCAUAACAGCGUUGUUCGCAUGAACAACGCUUAAAAGAUGGCUUCUCGCUAUCACUUCUGGAUGGACCUGCGGUGCAUUAGCUUGUUGGUGGGGUAACGGCCUACCAAGGCGAUGAUGCAUAGCCGAGUUGAGAGACUGAUCGGCCACAAUGGGACUGAGACACGGCCCAUACUCCUACGGGAGGCAGCAGUAGGGAAUCUUCCACAAUGGGCGCAAGCCUGAUGGAGCAACACCGCGUGAGUGAAGAAGGGUUUCGGCUCGUAAAGCUCUGUUGUUAAAGAAGAACACGUAUGAGAGUAACUGUUCAUACGUUGACGGUAUUUAACCAGAAAGUCACGGCUAACUACGUGCCAGCAGCCGCGGUAAUACGUAGGUGGCAAGCGUUAUCCGGAUUUAUUGGGCGUAAAGAGAGUGCAGGCGGUUUUCUAAGUCUGAUGUGAAAGCCUUCGGCUUAACCGGAGAAGUGCAUCGGAAACUGGAUAACUUGAGUGCAGAAGAGGGUAGUGGAACUCCAUGUGUAGCGGUGGAAUGCGUAGAUAUAUGGAAGAACACCAGUGGCGAAGGCGGCUACCUGGUCUGCAACUGACGCUGAGACUCGAAAGCAUGGGUAGCGAACAGGAUUAGAUACCCUGGUAGUCCAUGCCGUAAACGAUGAGUGCUAGGUGUUGGAGGGUUUCCGCCCCUCAGUGCCGGAGCUAACGCAUUAAGCACUC